AAGGGCACCACAAGAGCGUGGAGCAUGUGGCUUAAUUUGACUCAACGCGGGGAAUCUUACCGGGUCCGGACACACUGAGGAUUGACAGACAAUUGUCUUUUUGUCAAAUUUAAAGACAAAAGAUAACAGAUCUUUCAUGAUUAUGUGAUGGGUGGUGCAUGGCCGUUCUUAGUUCGUGGAGUGAUCUGUCUGCUUAAUUGCGUUUCAAAUAUAUUUUAUUAUAUAACGAGUCUACAAAGGAGUGGUUCAUUAACAGACAAUCAUAUCUUUGAGCGUCUGGAAUCUACUCUAUUUGGCUCAAUUGAACGCAACGGACGUGAUCGCGAGUCCUUGUUGAACUUCAGUAUAUAUUGACUAUCCCCGUAGGAAGGGAUUGGCAAUAAUUGAAUGUUCGCUUUCUAUUAGGUGUGUAUAUAUAGUCUCAAAAUUACAUGUAUUUGUAAUGGCGAGUAAUAUUUAUACUAUCCUGUAGGAAAACUCGGGCGACCGCUGUAAUAUUUCUCUUUAAAACAGAAGAAGAUUGCGGCAAUAACAGGUCUGUGAUGCCCUCAGAUGUCCCGGGCCGCACACGUGCUACAUUGAUUAGCGCAGUGCGCAUACUUUCAAUAUGAUACAUUAGAUUGGAUUGUUCUGUUGAGCUCCAUCUAAUACUAUCCGGCUUGAGAAGGCUGGGUAAUCAAUUGUAAGUGCUGGUUCCUCCUCCCGUUGAGCAUUUUAAUAAUGGCCUCUCUACAUCCCUAGCAAUAUGCCUAGUGCGAUUGUAGUUGAGCCUUGCCAUUUAUGCAAGUGUCAAUUCUCAGUGGGGACAGACAUUUGAUAAUACUUUGUCUCGUUCUUAACUAGGAAUGCCUUGUACGGGUCUUGGUUCAACAGACCACCCGGAAUACGUCCCUGCCCUUUGUACACACCGCCCGUCGCUCUUACCGAUGAAUUUCCCUGUGAGUUUGAAGGACUGAUGGUUGCAAAAUCAUUGGAAAUUCUGUCAAACAGCGAGAUUUAAAGGAAAGAGAAGUCGUAACAAGGCAUCAGUAGGUGAACCUGCUGAUGGAUCA
This 1052-nucleotide ribosomal RNA is filed under the name Globigerinella aequilateralis. RNAcentral's name for it is "SSU rRNA". It matches the Rfam family "Eukaryotic small subunit ribosomal RNA", at positions 1160 to 1828 of the family's 1831-position model. The record is from RNAcentral. Lineage: Eukaryota; Foraminifera; Rotaliida; Globigerinidae.